RNAcentral lists this transfer RNA (64 nucleotides) under Actinomycetota bacterium. Its description in RNAcentral is "tRNA-Leu". The record is from RNAcentral. Lineage: Bacteria; Bacillati; Actinomycetota.
CGGAGAAAAGUGGGAAAUCCGGCUGGGGGCCGGGCGGUCGCAGGUUCAAAUCCUGUCUCCCCGA